RNAcentral lists this ribosomal RNA (1343 nucleotides) under uncultured bacterium. RNAcentral's name for it is "16S ribosomal RNA". It matches the Rfam family "Bacterial small subunit ribosomal RNA", at positions 28 to 1378 of the family's 1533-position model. The record is from RNAcentral.
GACGAACGCUGGCGGCGUGCUUAACACAUGCAAGUCGAACGGAAAGGCCCUGCUUUUGUGGGGUGCUCGAGUGGCGAACGGGUGAGUAACACGUGAGUAACCUGCCCUUGACUUUGGGAUAACUUCAGGAAACUGGGGCUAAUACCGGAUAGGAGCUCCUGCUGCAUGGUGGGGGUUGGAAAGUUUCGGCGGUUGGGGAUGGACUCGCGGCUUAUCAGCUUGUUGGUGGGGUAGUGGCUUACCAAGGCUUUGACGGGUAGCCGGCCUGAGAGGGUGACCGGCCACAUUGGGACUGAGAUACGGCCCAGACUCCUACGGGAGGCAGCAGUGGGGAAUAUUGCACAAUGGGCGGAAGCCUGAUGCAGCAACGCCGCGUGCGGGAUGACGGCCUUCGGGUUGUAAACCGCUUUCGCCUGUGACGAAGCGUGAGUGACGGUAAUGGGUAAAGAAGCACCGGCUAACUACGUGCCAGCAGCCGCGGUGAUACGUAGGGUGCGAGCGUUGUCCGGAUUUAUUGGGCGUAAAGGGCUCGUAGGUGGUUGAUCGCGUCGGAAGUGUAAUCUUGGGGCUUAACCCUGAGCGUGCUUUCGAUACGGGUUGACUUGAGGAAGGUAGGGGAGAAUGGAAUUCCUGGUGGAGCGGUGGAAUGCGCAGAUAUCAGGAGGAACACCAGUGGCGAAGGCGGUUCUCUGGGCCUUUCCUGACGCUGAGGAGCGAAAGCGUGGGGAGCGAACAGGCUUAGAUACCCUGGUAGUCCACGCUGUAAACGGUGGGUACUAGGUGUGGGGUCCAUUCCACGGGUUCCGUGCCGUAGCUAACGCUUUAAGUACCCCGCCUGGGGAGUACGGCCGCAAGGCUAAAACUCAAAGGAAUUGACGGGGCCCCGCACAAGCGGCGGAGCAUGCGGAUUAAUUCGAUGCAACGCGUAGAACCUUACCUGGGUUUGACAUGGAUCGGGAGUGCUCAGAGAUGGGUGUGCCUCUUUUGGGGUCGGUUCACAGGUGGUGCAUGGCUGUCGUCAGCUCGUGUCGUGAGAUGUUGGGUUAAGUCCCGCAACGAGCGCAACCCUUGUUCACUGUUGCCAGCACGUUAUGGUGGGGACUCAGUGGAGACCGCCGGGGUCAACUCGGAGGAAGGUGGGGAUGACGUCAAGUCAUCAUGCCCCUUAUGUCCAGGGCUUCACGCAUGCUACAAUGGCUGGUACAGCGAGUGGCGAGCCUGUGAGGGUGAGCGAAUCUCGGAAAGCCGGUCUCAGUUCGGAUUGGGGUCUGCAACUCGACCUCAUGAAGUCGGAGUCGCUAGUAAUCGCAGAUCAGCAACGCUGCGGUGAAUAAAUUCCCGGG